CGCGUAGGUGGUAGUGUAAGUCUGGGGUGGAAUCCCAGGGCUCAACCCUGGAACUGCCUUGGAAACUGCAUUACUUGAGUCAGUGAGGGGAGGGUAGAAUUCCUGGUGUAGCGGUGAAAUGCGUAGAUAUCAGGAGGAAGGCCUGUGGCGAAGGCGGCCCUCUGGCGCUGGACUGACACUGAGGCGCGAAAGCGUGGGGAGCAAACAGGAUUAGAUACCCUGGUAGUCCACGCCCUAAACGGUGGGCACUAGGUGUAGGGCUCGUAAGGGUUCUGUGCCGAAGGGAAACCAUUAAGUGCCCCGCCUGGGGAGUACGACCGCAAGGUUGAA
Molecule: ribosomal RNA, 330 nt
Filed under: uncultured bacterium
Lineage: Bacteria
Description: bacterial SSU rRNA
Rfam family: Bacterial small subunit ribosomal RNA
Source: RNAcentral